This 787-nucleotide non-coding RNA is filed under the name Phyllomimus sp. ZJZ-2017. Its description in RNAcentral is "12S ribosomal RNA". The stretch from base 373 to 777 matches the Rfam family "Microsporidia small subunit ribosomal RNA", at positions 751 to 1303 of the family's 1311-position model. The record is from RNAcentral. Lineage: Eukaryota; Metazoa; Arthropoda; Insecta; Orthoptera; Tettigoniidae.
AAUUUUAUUCUAGUUUUGAAAUUUAUUUUUAGAAUAAUUUACAUGUCAGUUUUUGUGUAAGAGUAUAUUUAUCUAAAAGGUUAUAUAUUUUAUUCGCAGUAUGUAGUAUUAACUUUAUUAAGGAAGUUUAGAAUUAGUAAUUCAAUUAUAGUAUUGGCUAAAUUCGUGCCAGCUGCCGCGGUUAUACGUGGGAUGCGGAUAAAUUUUUUUUUGGUUUGGAGUUGAUUUUUUUAUAGAAUGAUGAAAUUUAUUUUUGAAGGUAAAAUUUAAAUAAAUAAUUAUAAUUAUUAUAAUUAGAAAGUAAAGCUUCGAAAUUAUAAUAAUAAACUAGGAUUAGAUACCCUAUUAUAUAUGAAGUAAAUUAUUAAGGCUGGAGUAGUAAUAGUUGUGGGCUUGAAACUCAAAGAAUUUGGCGGUGUUUUAAUCUCGUCAGAGGAAUUUGUCCUGUAAUUGAUAUUACACGAUUUAAUUGACUUAAUUUUGUAAAAUUCAGUUUGUAUAUCGCCGUCGUAAGAAUAUUUUUGGAGAAUUAUUUUCUUGAAUUUGGGUGAAAAUAUGUCAGGUCAAGGUGCAGCUAAUAAUUAAGUAGAGAUGAAUUACAAUAAGAGUACUUAUAUGAAUUUUGUUGUGUAAUUAAUAAAUGAAGGUGGAUUUGAGAGUAAUAUUAAUUUAUAAUGUUAAUAUGAUUUAGCUCUGAAACAUGUACACAUCGCCCGUCGCUCUCGUUAUAAGAUGAGAUAAGUCGUAACAAAGUAGGUAUACUGGAAAGUGUACCUAGAAAGUUUAU